CUGGAUAUUUCUCCUUCUGAUGGGAAGGGAUGAAGCGGCACCCCCAAACUGCAACCAGCAACACAUUUUCGAUAAGGCAUCCUGUUAUACAAAUAAUAUACAACAGCAGAUUAUAACUAAAAAUUAAUCUAGCGCAAAACCCGUGCACGGUGCACGAAUUGCAGAAUUUUCCUAUUGGUGAGACGGCACAACAACAAACAUACGCAGAAAAUUAUUUGCAAUGGCUGUAAAAUAUGUCAGAUCAAAACCCUGACUUAGCUGUUAUAUUUCGCCGUUAAAUUGUUGAGGAAGAAAUAUGUCUCAAGUUAAAACACGACAAUCGACGAGGUGUCCUGUCUGUGGUUUGCCGGACCUGUUUCUCACUUACCUACGUUUGGAUUCAGCAACGGAGUUAGCUGUGGUAACUCCUGAAUUAAUCCCGAAAAAUGCAAUUAAU
Bactrocera neohumeralis is the source of this 436-nucleotide long non-coding RNA. RefSeq lists it as uncharacterized. The record is from RefSeq and is a predicted model, not a curated record. The transcript is spliced from 3 exons. NCBI's taxonomy places the organism in Eukaryota, Metazoa, Arthropoda, Insecta, Diptera, Tephritidae.